Acanthosepion pharaonis is the source of this 109-nucleotide non-coding RNA. The record is from the annotation of a GenBank genome assembly. NCBI's taxonomy places the organism in Eukaryota, Metazoa, Mollusca, Cephalopoda, Sepiida, Sepiidae.
UUACGGUCAAAUCACGCUGAAAACACCGGUUCUCGUUCGAUCACCGAGCAUCGUAGAGCCAGGGCAGUACUUAGAUGGGGGACCGCUUGGGAACACCUGGUACUGUAAG